UACUACCGAAGCUACGGCAUCAGUAAUGAUGGCUAGGGGAGCGUCCCGCACGGGUUGAAGCAUGACCGUAAGGACAUGUGGACAGUAUGGGAGGGAGAAUGUGNGCAUGAGUAGCGAGAUGUGGGUGAGAAUCCCACAGGCCGUAAACCCAAGGUUUCCAGGGGAAGGUUCGUCCGCCCUGGGUUAGUCGGGACCUAAGCUGAGGCCGAAAGGCGUAGGUG
RNAcentral lists this ribosomal RNA (221 nucleotides) under Clostridioides difficile. RNAcentral describes it as "partial 23S ribosomal RNA". It matches the Rfam family "Bacterial large subunit ribosomal RNA", at positions 1189 to 1417 of the family's 2925-position model. The record is from RNAcentral. Lineage: Bacteria; Bacillati; Bacillota; Clostridia; Peptostreptococcales; Peptostreptococcaceae.